Non-coding RNA from Callorhinus ursinus (northern fur seal), 554 nucleotides. The record is from RefSeq and is a predicted model, not a curated record. Lineage: Eukaryota; Metazoa; Chordata; Mammalia; Carnivora; Otariidae.
CACCAUUCAAGUACUUAGGCAAAUUGUGAAGGUGCAGCCAAGCGCAAUGCUUCUCACACACGAGACUGGGCCAAGACUGAACCUUUAACCUGAAAUGGCUUUCUACAGAGUUCUCUGGGGCUGGAAGGUGGACCCAAUAUCUGGAACACUGCCGUCCCUUCCAGGGCUUUGAGCCUAAGACGUGGUGUCAGAGUGAACCCCGUGGGCUCCCUUCCACCUCAUGCAGGACGCAUCUCAUGAAGGCUGCAUUUCCUGUAACCCACCCAUGGACCCCCGAUCCUCGGACUACAGCUGCCCAGAGGAACUGAAACAAAGUGAAUCACAGAGGGAAACAAAGUGAAUCACCGAAGGCAGGUGGAGAGUUACAUUUUGUACUGCAAGACCAAAAGGGGCCUUCUAGCAAAUGUUCGUGUUGCUUUGCUACGGAUUUUUCUUUUGGCUUCUAAACUCUUCAAAAUAGAGUUCCAUUAAUAAUGUAAACGGAUAUAAGGACAGUGAGAGCUAUCAGUUAUUUAGUAUGUACUGGAUACCUUUUUUAAAAAAAUGUAAUUUCA